GGAUUGUAGCUCAAUGGCACAGCACUUGCCUCACAUGCAUGAGGUGCCUGGGUUCAAUGCUCAGUACCA
This 69-nucleotide transfer RNA is filed under the name Marmota monax (woodchuck). RNAcentral's name for it is "tRNA.Val". The record is from RNAcentral. Lineage: Eukaryota; Metazoa; Chordata; Mammalia; Rodentia; Sciuridae.